This 496-nucleotide ribosomal RNA is filed under the name uncultured bacterium. RNAcentral's name for it is "partial 16S ribosomal RNA". It matches the Rfam family "Bacterial small subunit ribosomal RNA", at positions 29 to 507 of the family's 1533-position model. The record is from RNAcentral.
AUGAACGCUGGCGGCGUGCCUAAUACAUGCAAGUCGAGCGAACGGACGAGAAGCUUGCUUUUCUGAUGUUAGCGGCGGACGGGUGAGUAACACGUGGAUAACCUACCUAUAAGACUGGGAUAACUUCGGGAAACCGGAGCUAAUACCGGAUAAUAUUUUGAACCGCAUGGUUCAAAAGUGAAAGACGGUCUUGCUGUCACUUAUAGAUAGAUCCGCGCUGCAUUAGCUAGUUGGUAAGGUAACGGCUUACCAAGGCAACGAUGCAUAGCCGACCUGAGAGGGUGAUCGGCCACACUGGAACUGAGACACGGUCCAGACUCCUACGGGAGGCAGCAGUAGGGAAUCUUCCGCAAUGGGCGAAAGCCUGACGGAGCAACGCCGCGUGAGUGAUGAAGGUCUUCGGAUCGUAAAACUCUGUUAUUAGGGAAGAACAUAUGUGUAAGUAACUGUGCACAUCUUGACGGUACCUAAUCAGAAAGCCACGGCUAACUACGUG